AAAGUAAUUCUCUAUUUAAUAUUCAGUCUGGAUGUCUAAUUUUUUGUGACAGAUAUUCAAAUAUAGUAUCAAAAUAAUUUUAAAUUUUAUGUAAAACAAUAUGAGUUGCGUAGAUUAAAAGAAUUAAAUAAAGGACCUAUUUGUACCCUAUGAUUGUUUUCCUCGAUGCACAUAUUGUGUGAACCCGUGAGCAUCCAAACCUUUAGUCACACAAAAAAAAGCAUCCAAACUCAUCAUCAAACCAUCAUGGGAUCAUGUUUCUCUUCUUCCCAAGAAACAAAGACAAAAAAACCUUCUAAACCCAUCAAACCAAAGACCAAAAAUGUUUAUAAUUAAACCCGUGAAAUCAUCAGGAGGUGCCAUUGUUAUGCCUCCAUUUGGAGGUGGUUGUGGUAGAGGCGGUUGCUGUGCUGGUGGGUGUGGAGGUGGAGGUGGGUGUGGUGGUGGUGGAUCUUAGUAGCUUUGUCCUCCUCUUCUUCUACUUCUUGUUAGGUUUAAUUAAAUGUGUUUUAUGUAUGAAUGAAAUUCUCACUAUAAUUUUGUUUGAGUUUGAUCGAUGUCUAAAUUAAAUCGUCAAGUUUGAUAAAUUCCCACUGUGUGUUGGGUUUGGAUUUUUUUUUUGC
This 623-nucleotide long non-coding RNA is filed under the name Medicago truncatula (barrel medic). Its description in RNAcentral is "long non-coding RNA (MTRU_LNC003398)". Lineage: Eukaryota; Viridiplantae; Streptophyta; Magnoliopsida; Fabales; Fabaceae. The record is from RNAcentral.